Long non-coding RNA from Balaenoptera musculus (blue whale), 730 nucleotides. RefSeq lists it as uncharacterized. Lineage: Eukaryota; Metazoa; Chordata; Mammalia; Artiodactyla; Balaenopteridae. The transcript has 6 exons. The record is from RefSeq and is a predicted model, not a curated record.
CUCUCGGCCCCUUGGCGUCUCCUCGCACGUUUCCAAAUGGCAGGGCCUGGUGUCCGUGACUGGGAUGCCCACUGUGAGGGCCCGAACUGAAAAUCCCUGACACUGACAUAUGUGAAUCAUGGGCAUCUUGGAAAGGCCUCAAAACGCGGCUGAAACACUGAAAUUUCACCCUUAAUGAUCUGAGGCAAGACUGGUCGAGUUGGAAAGAGAGACUCUUUUCAAUGUGGCUGCUGAAAUGAAAGGAGGAAGUCUGCAGUUUCUUAUUGCCUCCUUAUCAUCAUGAGGAAAAAGCCAGCGCAAGAAUGGAGCAAACUGGGAGCGAAGCAGAACCAAUAGAUCACAAGCACAGAACCAAGUCCUGAUGACAUUGUUUGCGCUCCUUGAUCCAGAACUUGAUCUGCACCUAGUGACUCAUUCGUCUUGUGGCUGCCUCUGGAUUCGUGAGUAUGGUGCCUAGAAAGAAAUAACCAACAAAUCAAAGUCUAUUUCAUUGAUGCACAUGUUGGCACCCUUUGAAAGAUCCAGAAAUCCACAUGUUGAACAUGAAUCUAGGGCUGCGGUUGCUGCAAAGUCUUAUGCAGAUCCUGGAAGAUAUCAACUCCUAGGGCUAGUGCAGCAUCUUAUUCACCUUGGCAUCUACCACUGCAUGGAGCACAGCACCUAUCACCUAGUAGAAGAAGCCUGGAGGUGGAACAGUUUCCUCCAAUGUCACAGCCCAAGUCAGUCACAC